Drosophila virilis is the source of this 1062-nucleotide long non-coding RNA. RefSeq lists it as uncharacterized. NCBI's taxonomy places the organism in Eukaryota, Metazoa, Arthropoda, Insecta, Diptera, Drosophilidae. The record is from RefSeq and is a predicted model, not a curated record.
CCUGGCCGUGGCGGCCACAUUCGCAGCCUGUUGGGCAAUUCCCAGUCCCUGGAUGGUGGCAUCCCGAGUGUGCUGGCCAAUGCGUUCCUCCUCGGAUUGACCCAAGCUGAUGGCCAGGAUGAGCGCAACGAAGAUGAAGACCUUGUAGAAGUUCAUGUUGAGUGUUGGUAUUGAAUAUUCCUUGGAAACUAGGAGGUGGGCUUUGAGCUGUUGCUUUUGUUGCUGAUGCUGAGCGACUGAUGACUGAUACGACCAGUCAGUGCCUCUUUUAUAGCUCAUAUAGCUUCCCGAUGCUGAUAAGCCUCGCAGUGCAAAAACUCAACAAUUGAUGGAUGAACGAGGGGAUUUUGUUCGGCAAAAAAGUACACGGAUCAAAAGCAAAUACGGUGCAGAGCAAAAAAAAGCAAUUCUAAACCCUACCCAGAUUUCAAACAUCGCCCCACAAACCUUUGUCAUAUAAGAUGCAAAGCCAAAAUGUUGGGUAUUUCCGCAUUCUUUUAAUAAGCCCCACAGAAAAUGUUGUCAUAUGAAAUGGAUUUGUGGGGAAACCACCAAAAAUGCUUGUCAUGAAACGGAGACAACUAAAAAAUUGGGUGAAAUACAAAUGUUUUUUACUACAAAUCAAUUUAUGAAUGAAAUCUUUCGCGGGUUUUUCUGCUUCCCGAUUUCCGACUACAACUGUAUUCAAUAUGUGUGAAUAUGCCACUGACCCGAACGGGUUGAUAAUAUGACAAUGACGAAUGGGUUAAGCAAGCAAACACUUAAUAAAGAACCAGCGUUUCUUCCCAGUUAUCAGCAUGUUGCGUCGAUUGGUCCACUCUGCACUGGAGGUGCAAGCUGUGAAUCCCAGUGGAUUGGUUUGCGGGCAGAUUUUCUUGACUCUCCUGAAUACGUGACAUUUUUCAGUGUUCAACUAGUAAAGGCAAAUAUUCUAAACACAUUUAUAUAGCUUUGAACAAUGAGAAAGUUCUGCUGCAAGUUCUUUAAAGCAUUAACUUACAUUUGUUAUUUUGCAUUUGAGAUUGCAUUUUGGUAAAAUAGAAAUUACAGUUUACUAUUCCA